AGAGUUUGAUCCUGGCUCAGAUUGAACGCUGGCGGCAUGCCUUACACAUGCAAGUCGAACGGCAGCACGGGGGCAACCCUGGUGGCGAGUGGCGAACGGGUGAGUAAUACAUCGGAACGUGUCCUGUAGUGGGGGAUAGCCCGGCGAAAGCCGGAUUAAUACCGCAUACGAUCUACGGAAGAAAGCGGGGGAUCCUUCGGGACCUCGCGCUACAGGGGCGGCCGAUGGCAGAUUAGCUAGUUGGUGGGGUAAAGGCCUACCAAGGCGACGAUCUGUAGCUGGUCUGKGAGGACGACCAGCCACACUGGGASUGAGACACGGCCCAGACUCCUACGGGAGGCAGCAGUGGGGAAUUUUGGACAAUGGGGGAAACCCUGAUCCAGCAAUGCCGCGUGUGUGAAGAAGGCCUUCGGGUUGUAAAGCACUUUUGUCCGGAAAGAAAGCUUCUGCCCUAAUACGGUGGGAGGAUGACGGUACCGGAAGAAUAAGCACCGGCUAACUACGUGCCAGCAGCCGCGGUAAUA
Molecule: ribosomal RNA, 524 nt
Filed under: uncultured Burkholderia sp.
Lineage: Bacteria; Pseudomonadati; Pseudomonadota; Betaproteobacteria; Burkholderiales; Burkholderiaceae
Description: bacterial SSU rRNA
Rfam family: Bacterial small subunit ribosomal RNA
Source: RNAcentral